Solea senegalensis (Senegalese sole) is the source of this 629-nucleotide long non-coding RNA. RefSeq lists it as uncharacterized. The transcript has 2 exons. The record is from RefSeq and is a predicted model, not a curated record. Lineage: Eukaryota; Metazoa; Chordata; Actinopteri; Pleuronectiformes; Soleidae.
GUAAAAAGGUGAGCCAAACUGACCAAGGCUGCGCGUCGUUCCUUUCUUUGCUUCUGCUGAAGGUUUGAUUGACAGCAGAGAGGCCAGCUGUCAGACUCUCAGCCUCUCUCUCUGCGGAUCUUCGUCACUCUGUCGUCGUGUCUGUGACUUUUUCCUGUCUGUAUUUGCUUCACGUUGAGCCUCACGCACAAUACCUGAAGAUGAAGUUUUGUUCGUUCGGCUCGCGUUAUGCAGGUACGGGUUGGCAACUGGAAAAAGGCACAAAAUGGCACACAAAUGAUGACUGUUUGUUUAAGGAGGCCUUUGCGCUGGCUUUUUCUUAGUGUGACUUGAAUGAAAUAAAUGAAGCCAGAUAUUGCUGCCUUACGCAAUAUUGCAGCAGGAUACGCCAAGUUCUUGUGAUGAGUACAAAUAAAUUCUUUAAGAAAAAGAAUUUGAUUCAGGCAAUUUGAAAACAACACGGUUUGAGUAGAAGUGAAGCACCAGGUGUCCAGAACAUGUCACUGGAAAGUUGAUCUUAUUUGCAUACAGGUGUGUGUGUGUGUGUGUGUGUGUGUGAGUCAGCAGCAUCAUGCUGCCCUGACCUGUGCAGUCACUCAUUUACUGACAAAGUAGAUUUAAAAAUAAUC